RNAcentral lists this ribosomal RNA (450 nucleotides) under uncultured bacterium. RNAcentral describes it as "partial 16S ribosomal RNA". It matches the Rfam family "Bacterial small subunit ribosomal RNA", at positions 354 to 796 of the family's 1533-position model. The record is from RNAcentral.
GUGGGGAAUAUUGGACAAUGGGCGAAAGCCUGAUCCAGCCAUGCCGCGUGUGUGAAGAAGGUCUUCGGAUUGUAAAGCACUUUAAGUUGGGAGGAAGGGUAGUAACCUAAUACGUUGCUACUUUGACGUUACCGACAGAAUAAGCACCGGCUAACUUCGUGCCAGCAGCCGCGGUAAUACGAAGGGUGCAAGCGUUAAUCGGAAUUACUGGGCGUAAAGCGCGCGUAGGUGGUUCAGUAAGUUGGAAGUGAAAUCCCCGGGCUCAACCUGGGAACUGCUUUCAAAACUGCUGAGCUAGAGUACGGUAUAGGGUGGUGGAAUUUCCUGUGUAGCGGUGAAAUGCGUAGAUAUAGGAAGGAACACCAGUGGCGAAGGCGACCACCUGGACUGAUACUGACACUGAGGUGCGAAAGCGUGGGGAGCAAACAGGAUUAGAAACCCGGGUAGUCC